CAGUCGCCGCGGGAAUACGUAGGUGGCAAGCGUUGUCCGGAAUUAUUGGGCGUAAAGGGCUCGCAGGCGGUUUCUUAAGUCUGAUGUGAAAGCCCCCGGCUCAACCGGGGAGGGUCAUUGGAAACUGGGAAACUUGAGUGCAGAAGAGGAGAGUGGAAUUCCACGUGUAGCGGUGAAAUGCGUAGAGAUGUGGAGGAACACCAGUAGCGAAGGCGACUCUCUGGUCUGUGACUGACGCUGAGGAGCGAAAGCGUGGGGAGCGAACAGGAUUAGAUACCCCUGUAGUCCCUGUCUCUUAUAC
Molecule: ribosomal RNA, 301 nt
Filed under: uncultured bacterium
Lineage: Bacteria
Description: partial 16S ribosomal RNA
Rfam family: Bacterial small subunit ribosomal RNA
Source: RNAcentral